GACGAACGCUGGCGGCGUGCUUAACACAUGCAAGUCGAACGGUAAGGCCCUUCGGGGUACACGAGUGGCGAACGGGUGAGUAACACGUGGGUGAUCUGCCCUGCACUUCGGGAUAAGCCUGGGAAACUGGGUCUAAUACCGGAUAGGACCACUGCCUGCAUGGGUGGUGGUGGAAAGCUUUUGCGGUGUGGGAUGGGCCCGCGGCCUAUCAGCUUGUUGGUGGGGUGAUGGCCUACCAAGGCGACGACGGGUAGCCGGCCUGAGAGGGUGACCGGCCACACUGGGACUGAGAUACUGCCCAGACUCCCACGGGAGGCAGCAGUGGGGAAUAUUGCACAAUGGGCGCAAGCCUGAUGCAGCGACGCCGCGUGAGGGAUGACGGCCUUCGGGUUGUAAACCUCUUUCAGCACCGACGAAGCGCAAGUGACGGUAGGUGCAGAAGAAGGACCGGCCAACUACGUGCCAGCCGCCGCGGUAA
RNAcentral lists this ribosomal RNA (478 nucleotides) under uncultured bacterium. RNAcentral's name for it is "partial 16S ribosomal RNA". It matches the Rfam family "Bacterial small subunit ribosomal RNA", at positions 28 to 523 of the family's 1533-position model. The record is from RNAcentral.